UUCCGUAGGNGAACCUGCGGAGGAUCAUUAAUAGUGCCCUCUGAUGCAAAUCAUUGGGUAGAUCUGCUCUCUUCGCAAGAAGAGGGUUCCAUACACACCGUGAACUGUGGCUUCGGCCAUCACAAACUGUUAGUAAUGAAUGUAAUAUCAUAAACAAAACAAAACUUUUAACAACGGAUCUCUUGGCUCUCGCAUCGAUGAAGAAACGCAGCGAAAUGCGAUAAGUAAUGUGAAUUGCAGAAUUCAGUGAAUCAUCGAAUCUUUGAACGCACCUUGCGCCCUUUGGUAUUCCGAAGGGCAUGCCUGUUUGAGUGUCAUGAAACCUCACCCCACUUUGGGUUUUUGCCUGAGCGGUGGUGUAUUGGGUGUUGCCUUGCUAAAGGCUCGCCUUAAAGACAUAAGCACCUUGGAUGUAAUACGUUUCAAUCCUUCUGGGUGGCUGAUAACCCCACAUAUUCAUGAUCUGGCCUCAAAUCAGGAGGGUACCCGUACCCGCUGAACUUAAGCAUUAUCAAUAUUAAGCGGGANGAAA
RNAcentral lists this ribosomal RNA (532 nucleotides) under Cryptococcus sp. P18r. RNAcentral's name for it is "eukaryotic LSU rRNA". The stretch from base 163 to 317 matches the Rfam family "5.8S ribosomal RNA". The record is from RNAcentral. Lineage: Eukaryota; Fungi; Basidiomycota; Tremellomycetes; Tremellales; Cryptococcaceae.